CGAACUAGCAAAAUGGCACCGUAACUUCGGGAGAAGGUGCGCCGGUGAGGGUGAAGCAUUUACUGCGUAAGCCCAUGCCGGUCGAAGAUACCAGGCCGCUGCGACUGUUUAUUAAAAACACAGCACUCUGCAAACACGAAAGUGGACGUAUAGGGUGUGACGCCUCCCCGGUGCCGGAAGGUUAAUUGAUGGGGUUAGCUAACGCGAAGCUCUUGAUCGAAGCCCCGGCAAACGGCGGCCGUAACAAUAACGGUCCUAAGGUAGCGAAAUUCCUUGUCGGGUAAGUUCCGACCUGCACGAAUGGCGUAACGAUGGCGGCGCUGUCUCCACCCGAGACUCAGUGAAAUUGAAAUCGCUGUGAAGAUGCAGUGUAUCCGCGGCUAGACGGAAAGACCCCGUGAACCUUUACUAUAGCUUUGCACUGGACUUUGAAUUUGCUUGUGUAGGAUAGGUGGGAGGCUUUGAAGCGUGGACGCCAGUUCGCGUGGAGCCAACCUUGAAAUACCACCCUGGCAACUUUGAGGUUCUAACUCAGGUCCGUUAUCCGGAUCGAGGACAGUGUAUGGUGGGUAGUUUGACUGGGGCGGUCUCCUCCUAAAGAGUAACGGAGGAGUACGAAGGUGCGCUCAGACCGGUCGGAAAUCGGUCGUAGAGUAUAAAGGCAAAAGCGCGCUUGACUGCGAGACAGACACGUCGAGCAGGUACGAAAGUAGGUCUUAGUGAUCCGGUGGUUCUGUAUGGAAGGGCCAUCGCUCAACGGAUAAAAGGUACUCCGGGGAUAACAGGCUGAUACCGCCCAAGAGUUCAUAUCGACGGCGGUGUUUGGCACCUCGAUGUCGGCUCAUCACAUCCUGGGGCUGAAGCCGGUCCCAAGGGUAUGGCUGUUCGCCAUUUAAAGUGGUACGCGAGCUGGGUUUAGAACGUCGUGGGACAGUUCGGUCCCUAUCUGCCGUGGACGUUUGAGAUUUGAGAGGGGCUGCUCCUAGUACGAGAGGACCGGAGUGGACGAACCUCUGGUGUUCCGGUUGUCACGCCAGUGGCAUUGCCGGGUAGCUAUGUUCGGAAUAGAUAACCGCUGAAAGCAUCUAAGCGGGAAACUAGCCUCAAGAUGAGAUCUCACUGGGACCUUGAGUCCCCUGAAGGGCCGUCGAAGACUACGACGUUGAUAGGUUGGGUGUGUAAGCGCUGUGAGGCGUUGAGCUAACCAAUACUAAUUGCCCGUGGGGCUUGACC
This 1233-nucleotide ribosomal RNA is filed under the name metagenome. RNAcentral describes it as "bacterial LSU rRNA". It matches the Rfam family "Bacterial large subunit ribosomal RNA", at positions 1709 to 2925 of the family's 2925-position model. The record is from RNAcentral.